This is a transfer RNA of 73 nucleotides. It matches the Rfam family "tRNA". From Rfam's summary of the family: Transfer RNA (tRNA) molecules are approximately 80 nucleotides in length. The record is from Rfam.
GCCUGGGUACCCGAGAGGUUAAGGGCGCGGAUUGCAAAUCCGUUGUGCGUCAGUUCGAAUCUGACUCCAGGCU